GAACGCUGGCGGCAUGCCUAACACAUGCAAGUCGAACGAGACCUUCGGGUCUAGUGGCGCACGGGUGCGUAACGCGUGGGAACCUGCCCUUAGGUUCGGAAUAACUCCCCGAAAGGGGUGCUAAUACCGGAUAAUGUCUUCGGACCAAAGAUUUAUCGCCUUUGGAUGGGCCCGCGUUGAAUUAGCUAGUUGGUAGGGUAAAAGCCUACCAAGGCGACGAUCCAUAGCUGGUCUGAGAGGAUGAUCAGCCACACUGGGACUGAGACACGGCCCAGACUCCUACGGGAGGCAGCAGUGGGGAAUAUUGGACAAUGGGCGAAAGCCUGAUCCAGCAAUGCCGCGUGAGUGAUGAAGGCCUUAGGGUUGUAAAGCUCUUUUACCCGGGAUGAUAAUGACAGUACCGGGAGAAUAAGCUCCGGCUAACUCCGUG
RNAcentral lists this ribosomal RNA (430 nucleotides) under uncultured bacterium. Its description in RNAcentral is "partial 16S ribosomal RNA". It matches the Rfam family "Bacterial small subunit ribosomal RNA", at positions 31 to 507 of the family's 1533-position model. The record is from RNAcentral.